This 261-nucleotide long non-coding RNA is filed under the name Cottoperca gobio. RNAcentral's name for it is "lncRNA (ENSCGOG00000019447.1)". Lineage: Eukaryota; Metazoa; Chordata; Actinopteri; Perciformes; Bovichtidae. The record is from RNAcentral.
AGGGGGAGCUCCGCCCCCUCCUCAGGAGCAAUCUGGAUGACGACCUGAAUGCUCCGUGUCUUCAUUGCUGCUGCACUCUUAUCUGUAUUUUACAGAUGACUCACUGUGGCAGAUAAUCUGCUCAGAUGAUGGACGGCUGCCGCGCCGCAGUCACCAGGAGCAGCGGAGCCACCUGGUUUCAGCCAUCCUACACCUCCGCCCGGCCAGUGAAGGCAGGUUGGUGCGUUGGUGCGCGCUUCAAAGCUUCAACUUUGCUUUUAA